RNAcentral lists this long non-coding RNA (559 nucleotides) under Mytilus galloprovincialis (Mediterranean mussel). The record is from RNAcentral. Lineage: Eukaryota; Metazoa; Mollusca; Bivalvia; Mytilida; Mytilidae.
GAGAGCGACUUACAUUUGAAAUAAAAUGGAGGAGACAGCAAAUAAUUCAAAAUCAGUUUUGUCAUUAGAAGUUACACAAGAGCAGAGGAAUGCAAUUUACACUUUAUUUGUACACAAUGAUUGGGAAUUUAAAGACAAAUCUGGUGAAAGUGUUAGUGUUGAGGAAAAGGUUUCAAAUGUGGAAGAUUUCUUUAUUGCACAAAUGAAAACUCGGAGGAAUGUCCAAAUUGUUUAUGCAGGCCAUGCAUGACACACGAAAGGAACAGACAGAUGUGGUGGGGAAAUAAACAGAAUGCAUAUUUGAGAAAAGACAUGUAUCAAUUUUUUUGGACUAAUUUAUUUCAUAGGCGAGUUUGGAAAGACCCUAGAUACUUAUUGCGAAAGAAAGAUGCACUUAGAAGUGAUCCUAGAAGACGUAAAUGUGUUUAUCAUCGGAGGGAUUUAAUACCCAAGUGUGUGAUUGAGUUAGUGGAACAGUGGUUUCCAAACUUAUCAGGAAAAUAAAUACAUGGGUUACAUAACAUGCAUUAGGGAAUACUAACUUAGAAAUAAAAGCGCC